RNAcentral lists this ribosomal RNA (506 nucleotides) under uncultured bacterium. RNAcentral's name for it is "partial 16S ribosomal RNA". It matches the Rfam family "Bacterial small subunit ribosomal RNA", at positions 30 to 523 of the family's 1533-position model. The record is from RNAcentral.
AUUGAACGCUGGCGGCAGGCCUAACACAUGCAAGUCGAGCGGCAGCGGAAAGUAGCUUGCUACUUUGCCGGCGAGCGGCGGACGGGUGAGUAAUGUCUGGGAAACUGCCUGAUGGAGGGGGAUAACUACUGGAAACGGUAGCUAAUACCGCAUAACGUCGCAAGACCAAAGAGGGGGACCUUCGGGCCUCUUGCCAUCAGAUGUGCCCAGAUGGGAUUAGCUAGUAGGUGGGGUAAUGGCUCACCUAGGCGACGAUCCCUAGCUGGUCUGAGAGGAUGACCAGCCACACUGGAACUGAGACACGGUCCAGACUCCUACGGGAGGCAGCAGUGGGGAAUAUUGCACAAUGGGCGCAAGCCUGAUGCAGCCAUGCCGCGUGUAUGAAGAAGGCCUUCGGGUUGUAAAGUACUUUCAGCGGGGAGGAAGGUGUUGAGGUUAAUAACCUCAGCAAUUGACGUUACCCGCAGAAGAAGCACCGGCUAACUCCGUGCCAGCCGCCGCCGUAA